Molecule: ribosomal RNA, 181 nt
Filed under: uncultured bacterium
Lineage: Bacteria
Description: partial 16S ribosomal RNA
Rfam family: Bacterial small subunit ribosomal RNA
Source: RNAcentral
UGUGGGCGAAUAUUAGCGACAAUGGGGGAAACCCUGAUCCAGCAAUGCCGCGUGUGUGAAGAAGGCCUUCGGGUUGUAAAGCACUUUCAAUAGGGAGGAAAAGCUAUGCGUUAAUAGCGUAUAGCCGUGACGUUACCUAUAGAAGAAGCACCGGCUAACUCCGUGCCAGCAGCCGCGGUAA